UACGGGGGGGGCAAGCGUUGUUCGGAAUUACUGGGCGUAAAGGGCUCGUAGGCGGCCAACUAAGUCAUACGUGAAAUCCCUCGGCUUAACCGGGGAACUGCGUCUGAUACUGGAUGGCUUGAGUUCGGGAGAGGGAUGCGGAAUUCCAGGUGUAGCGGUGAAAUGCGUAGAUAUCGGGAGGAACACCUGAGGCGAAGGCGGGCUACUGGGCCGAUACUGACGCUGAUGCGCGAAAGCCAGGGGAGCAAACGGG
RNAcentral lists this ribosomal RNA (253 nucleotides) under uncultured bacterium. RNAcentral's name for it is "partial 16S ribosomal RNA". It matches the Rfam family "Bacterial small subunit ribosomal RNA", at positions 524 to 776 of the family's 1533-position model. The record is from RNAcentral.